RNAcentral lists this ribosomal RNA (900 nucleotides) under uncultured Kluyvera sp. RNAcentral's name for it is "bacterial SSU rRNA". It matches the Rfam family "Bacterial small subunit ribosomal RNA", at positions 28 to 918 of the family's 1533-position model. The record is from RNAcentral. Lineage: Bacteria; Pseudomonadati; Pseudomonadota; Gammaproteobacteria; Enterobacterales; Enterobacteriaceae.
AUUGAACGCUGGCGGCAGGCCUAACACAUGCAAGUCGAACGGUAGCACAGAGAGCUUGCUCUUGGGUGACGAGUGGCGGACGGGUGAGUAAUGUCUGGGAAACUGCCCGAUGGAGGGGGAUAACUACUGGAAACGGUAGCUAAUACCGCAUAACGUCGCAAGACCAAAGUGGGGGACCUUCGGGCCUCACACCAUCGGAUGUGCCCAGAUGGGAUUAGCUAGUAGGUGGGGUAAUGGCUCACCUAGGCGACGAUCCCUAGCUGGUCUGAGAGGAUGACCAGCCACACUGGAACUGAGACACGGUCCAGACUCCUACGGGAGGCAGCAGUGGGGAAUAUUGCACAAUGGGCGCAAGCCUGAUGCAGCCAUGCCGCGUGUAUGAAGAAGGCCUUCGGGUUGUAAAGUACUUUCAGCGAGGAGGAAGGCAUUGUGGUUAAUAACCGCAGUGAUUGACGUUACUCGCAGAAGAAGCACCGGCUAACUCCGUGCCAGCAGCCGCGGUAAUACGGAGGGUGCAAGCGUUAAUCGGAAUUACUGGGCGUAAAGCGCACGCAGGCGGUCUGUCAAGUCGGAUGUGAAAUCCCCGGGCUCAACCUGGGAACUGCAUUCGAAACUGGCAGGCUAGAGUCUUGUAGAGGGGGGUAGAAUUCCAGGUGUAGCGGUGAAAUGCGUAGAGAUCUGGAGGAAUACCGGUGGCGAAGGCGGCCCCCUGGACAAAGACUGACGCUCAGGUGCGAAAGCGUGGGGGAGCAAACAGGAUUAGAUACCCUGGUAGUCCACGCCGUAAACGAUGUCGACUUGGAGGUUGUGCCCUUGAGGCGUGGCUUCCGGAGCUAACGCGUUAAGUCGACCGCCUGGGGAGUACGGCCGCAAGGUUAAAACUCAAAUGAAUUGACGGGG